UGUCCGAGUGGUUAAGGAGGUGGACUAGAAAUCCACUGGGCUCUGCCCGCGCAGGUUCGAAUCC
RNAcentral lists this transfer RNA (64 nucleotides) under Perkinsus olseni. RNAcentral's name for it is "tRNA-Ser". It matches the Rfam family "tRNA", at positions 8 to 60 of the family's 71-position model. Rfam says of the family: Transfer RNA (tRNA) molecules are approximately 80 nucleotides in length. Their secondary structure includes four short double-helical elements and three loops (D, anti-codon, and T loops). Lineage: Eukaryota; Perkinsozoa; Perkinsida; Perkinsidae. The record is from RNAcentral.